GCAGUCGUACGAGAGUUUAUAACUCUAGUGGCGGACGGGUGAGUAACACGUGAGAAUUUACCUUUAGGAGGGGGAUAACAAUUGGAAACGAAUGCUAAUACCCCAUAUGCUUUCGAGUGAAAUGGAUUUAUAUUUAUUCGCCUAAAGAGAAGCUCGCGGCUGAUUAGCUUGUUGGUAAGGUAAGAGCUUACCAAGGCGACGAUCAGUAUCUGGUUUGAGAGGACGAUCAGACACACUGGAACUGAGACACGGUCCAGACUCCUACGGGAGGCAGCAGUGGGGAAUUUUCCGCAAUGGGCGAAAGCCUGACGGAGCAAUACCGCGUGAGGGAAGACUGCCUAUGGGUUGUAAACCUCUUUUCAGGGAGGAAUAAAUGACGUGUACCUGAAGAAUAAGCAUCGGCUAACUCCGUGCCAGCAGCCGCGGUAAGACGGAGGAUGCAAGUGUUAUCCGGAAUCACUGGGCGUAAAGCGUCUGUAGGUGGUUUAAUAAGUCAACUGUUAAAUCUUGAGGCUCAACUUCAAAAUCGCAGUCGAAACUAUUAGACUAGAGUAUAGUAGAGGUAAAGGGAAUUUCCAGUGGAGCGGUGAAAUGCGUAGAUAUUGGAAAGAACACCGAUGGCGAAAGCACUUUACUGGGCUAUUACUAACACUCAGAGACGAAAGCUAGGGUAGCAAAUGGGAUUAGAUACCCCAGUAGUCCUAGCCGUAAACUAUGGAUACUAGAUGUUGAACAGAUCGACCUGUGCAGUAUCAAAGCUAACGCGUUAAGUUAUCCCGCCUGGGAAGUAUGCUCGCAAGAGUGAAA
This 807-nucleotide ribosomal RNA is filed under the name uncultured cyanobacterium. RNAcentral describes it as "bacterial SSU rRNA". It matches the Rfam family "Bacterial small subunit ribosomal RNA", at positions 57 to 899 of the family's 1533-position model. Lineage: Bacteria; Bacillati; Cyanobacteriota. The record is from RNAcentral.